GACGAACGCUGGCGGCGUGCUUUACACAUGCAAGUCGAACGGUGAAGGUGGAGCUUGCUCCGCCGGAUCAGUGGCGAACGGGUGAGUAACACGUGGGCAACCUGCCCCUAACUUUGGGAUAACUACUCGAAAGAGUAGCUAAUACCGGAUAUGAAGUCUGUAGGCAUCUACGGAUUUGGAAAGUUUUUCGGUUAGGGAUGGGCCCGCGGCCUAUCAGCUUGUUGGUGAGGUAGUGGCUCACCAAGGCGACGACGGGUAGCCGGCCUGAGAGGGCGACCGGCCACACUGGGACUGAGACACGGCCCAGACUCCUACGGGAGGCAGCAGUGGGGAAUAUUGCGCAAUGGGCGAAAGCCUGACGCAGCAACGCCGCGUGCGGGAUGAAGGCCUUCGGGUUGUAAACCGCUUUCAGCAGGGAAGAAGCGAAAGUGACGGUACCUGCAGAAGAAGCACCGGCUAACUACGUGCCAGCCGCCGCUGUAA
RNAcentral lists this ribosomal RNA (483 nucleotides) under uncultured bacterium. RNAcentral describes it as "partial 16S ribosomal RNA". It matches the Rfam family "Bacterial small subunit ribosomal RNA", at positions 28 to 523 of the family's 1533-position model. The record is from RNAcentral.